CCUACGGGAGACUGCAGUGAGGAAUAUUGGUCAAUGGACGAGAGUCUGAAGCAGCCAAGUAGCGUGAAGGAUGACUGCUCUAUGGGUUGUAAACUUCUUUUAUAUGGGAAUAAAAUGUUCCACGUGUGGGAUAUUGUAUGUACCAUAUGAAUAAGGAUCGGCUAACUCCGUGCCAGCAGCCGCGGUAAUACGGAGGAUCCGAGUGUUAUCCGGAUUUAUUGGGUUUAAAGGGAGCGUAGGUGGAUUGUUAAGUCAGUUGUGAAAGUUUACGGCUCAACCGUAGAAUUGCAGUUGAAACUGGCAGUCUGGAGUACAGUAGAGGUAAGCGGAAUUCGUGGUGUAGCGGUGAAAUGCUUAGAUAUCACGAAGAACUCCGAUUGCGAAGGCAGCUCACUGGACUGCAACUGACACUGAGGCUCGAAGGUGUGGGUAUCAAACAGGAUUAGAUACCCUAGUAGUC
Molecule: ribosomal RNA, 460 nt
Filed under: uncultured bacterium
Lineage: Bacteria
Description: partial 16S ribosomal RNA
Rfam family: Bacterial small subunit ribosomal RNA
Source: RNAcentral